Molecule: non-coding RNA, 821 nt
Organism: Microcebus murinus (gray mouse lemur)
Lineage: Eukaryota; Metazoa; Chordata; Mammalia; Primates; Cheirogaleidae
Source: RefSeq, a predicted model, not a curated record
UAUGUGCUACAACUUGGAUGAAUCUUGAAAACAUUUUAUUAACUGAAAGAUGCUAGUCACAGAAGUCCGCAUAUUGUAUUAUCCCAUUCAUAUGAAUAAGGUCCCACAAAUCCUAUAAACUGGGACAGGAGUUCGGGUGAGGGCCACACAGAAGAAUCUUCCCUUUCUAUGGAAGCAUUACGCCAUUACCUUCCGGCACCAAGUGUGGCUGAAGAGAAUUUGGUUGUCCGUGAUAUGACAGCAAGCAGAGGCACCUCAAGUCAGAAUAAGAAGGCUCACCGUCUGCCAGGGAAAUCCCAUAUCACCAGAACACAACAUCUUGCUUCUGUUCAUUCUUUACUCAUGUGGACGACUAUUUAGAACAACUGCCAAAGGAGGCCUGAUUUUCAAGUCCUUGUUUUAUGGCUAAGGAAAGCCAUGUGGUUAUCAUCAUUUUCUAUGGAAUUUCCAUUUAAUAUUUUAUGUUCAGGGUUGACUGCAAGCAACUAAAAUCACAAGAAGUGAAACUGUGGAUAAGAGAGAAUUACUGUGCCACUCUGAUUUGAUGAAUGUAGUUAAGUUCUGAUACCUGCCUACUCAGUGUGAAGAUGACAAGGAUGAAACCCUUUAUGAUGAUUCACUUCUACUUAACGAAUAGGGUGUCAGCCAUGAACCUAAGAUGAAAAACCAAGAUAUUCACAACUUCUUUUCCCAUACAGUACACAAAUGGAAAAGAAUAUGGAGGGCCCAAGAAAAUGCAAUGACUGGAAAUGCCUUGGAGAUCAACAGGACUUGAGACCAGCAUGUGGUGGGGGCAGAGAAUAAAUGAGCUUGAAAAGUGG